Molecule: transfer RNA, 74 nt
Filed under: Acetobacter sp.
Lineage: Bacteria; Pseudomonadati; Pseudomonadota; Alphaproteobacteria; Acetobacterales; Acetobacteraceae
Also listed under: 7 other names
Description: tRNA-Gly
Rfam family: tRNA
About the family: Transfer RNA (tRNA) molecules are approximately 80 nucleotides in length. Their secondary structure includes four short double-helical elements and three loops (D, anti-codon, and T loops).
Source: RNAcentral
GCGGGCAUAGCAUAGUGGUAAUGCUGUAGCCUUCCAAGCUACCGAGGAGGGUUCGAUUCCCUCUGUCCGCUCCA